UUUCUAUUAGAAUCAUACUACUUUAAACCUGAAUUCACAGAUUGCACGCGGCCUUAUUCUUUAAUUAUGCAUGAAUUUGUAUGAAUGCAAUUUAGUCAACAAACCACAGCUAAGGCAACUAAGGUUUUUCAUGGAAAAAAGAUUUCAAUCACCCAUAUAAAUCCAUAGUUUGCCUCCUCCUAAUUAUUUAGGUAAGCUCAAACUGCCUUUGAUCACAUAUGCAGCUAAAGGUGUGACUUAAAUGCAAAUCUUGAUUUACAAGCCACAAGUAAGCAAACCACAGCCUGUUACACAGCUGCGUAAAUAUGUUCGCCCGCUUUGGUGUCUUCUAGAUUACUUGACGGAUGCAAGAGACUUUUGAAGUCCUACACAAACAUUCAUCGGAACCCAAAUUACGUUAGUAUCAGAGAAAAAGAUCAGCCGGGACAGACAGGUUUCACCCUGGUACGACUUCUGUCCUUCAAAGAGCUGCGUGAACAGGAGGGCAAAGCUCUACCGAGCGCAUUUCAGCUCAAACAACCCCCAGCAGUCUAAGCCGGCCCCAAAAGUAGCAGCUCUGCAACCGCCUUGAAGGCGCAGGAGAUCCGUCGGGAGGGCGGGAAAGGCCAGGAGCGGCCCCAAAGGAUCGACAAGGGGCAAAUGUCUGGCGUAGCGAGGCGCUGGCGGUGUCUUUAAGGCGCUGUCCCCGCCCCGUUUUCAGACUGUUGGACACCCCGCCUUCCUUCUGUCGAACCGGCGGCGGCGGAGCAAGCAGUACCGUGAGAGGCUACGAGCUGCAGGUGUAGGCAGGCGAGCGCUCCCGCACGGCGGUGGCGGCGGCGGCGGCGGCGUGGCCGGAGGAGGUCAUCUUCGUCGGCAGCCAUACCGCUAGCUCCGGCGGCGCUCCCCAAAGCACCGAUCGCUCGCUCGCCCGCCCGGAGGAAGGGAUCUGCUGCCCACGAGGCUGAGCUGGAACAUGUCGGUGGUUACCGGAGGUAGCGAACCGGGCCCCGCCGCCACCGCCGCCGCCACCGGGGGAGGCACCGGCGGAGGGACCCGGGUUUUCUUUCAGAGCCCGCGCGGAGGCGCCUCCCGGGAAGAUUCGGUCGCCCCCGCCGUGGUCCAAGUCCAGCAGCAGCGGCGCCACCAGCAGGGCAAAGUGACGGUCAAGUACGAUCGGAAAGAGCUGCGGAAAAGGCUAGUGCUGGAAGAGUGGAUCGUGGAGCAGCUCGGGCAGCUGUACGGCUGCGAGGAAGAAGAGAUGCCAGAUGUAGAAAUUGAUAUUGACGAUCUUCUGGAUGCUGCUAAUGAAGAGGAGAGAGCCCUCAAACUACAAGAAGCGCUUGUAGAUUGCUACAAACCUACAGAGCACUCUCUGAACGGCUUACAGAGUUGGCAUAUUGGCCCCAACAAUCUGGGUCCUCCUUUUACUGACCUUGGAAGGAUGGAAGGCUGAGUCAACCUUGAGCUGGUCAGGAUCGAACUGCUGGCAGUGGAAUGCAGAGUUAGCCUGCAGUACUGCAUUCUAACCACUGCACCACCACAGCUCUCUGCUACCCGCAAUCUUCCCUGCCUGGUGCUGUCUAUAUGGUGAAUGCUAAGGAUUUUAUCAAAGAACUUCUAACUCGGAUAAGAGGGAUGAGGAAACUGAGCCCUCCUCAAAAGAAGAGUAUAUAAGUGAACAUGGAGCCCUCUUGAGAGAAGUGAUCAAUAAACUGGAACUAUUAAAUAAGGCACCUGCUAGUUUGGUCGUUAUGAGCAAUUUUUCUCUUUUUUGGUUGAAUUCUGACAUUUUAAAGAAUUCAACCCCUUCUGUUUAAGGCAGUUUUUUCAAGUGUGAUUUUAUUUUAUCACAGAUAGCAACGUUACGGAUGCUGCUUUUACUACCUGCGGAUGAUCAAGAUAGAUGGGAAAACAUCAAUUUUAGAGGGACUUUCCUAGGCAGUAAUUCUGCCUGAUGUAAAACUACUAGGGAAAUGCUGUUCCUUUACAACCAGUUGGAUCAUUAAGUUGUACACCAGACUCAUGGAUGUUAAGGUUCUUGUGCUUGUGUACAUAAAUUAUCAAGUGAGUGUUACUAUUGAUUCACAUCGGUGGAAACGAAAUGUGCUCUUAAGUAACAAUAUAAACUGAAGUUAUAACCAAUGUGGUGUUGCGGGCAUGGGGGGUGAGGGGAGGGAUGCAGUUUGUUCAAUGGGGAUGCUGCCACUGUUAAAGCAUUGCAACAAAUGCCUCUAUUCACAAAGCAACACAUAAGCAAACUGGGGUCCAAGGGCUUGAUUUUUUUAGGUACUAUUACCAACUUUGAGGCUCAGCCAGAUAUAAUCUCUCUUCAUUUUAUGAUCUGUUAGGGUUGAUCAACCUAUUGCUAAAGGGUCUGAUAAGCCAGCAGGAAAAAGGUCAAUACCAUUAUGGGAAAGUCUUGGAGAGAGUAUCUCCAUAGACAUCUUGGAGAGAGGGGAAAUGGAAGUCAACCCACCCCUUCUUAUAAUAAGAAUAUCCAGCCAUCGCUUCCUAUUUUGACCAACUUGGUAGGUUGGCUGGCUGGUUGGCGAAGUGAUCUAGGUUGCAGAGGUGAAAGCUCGUUCCCCAAACUCUUCAGGAAAACAUUCUUUGUUCUAAUGCAGUGUUUCUCAACUUUAGCAACCUAAUAGCAUGCUGGCUGAGGAAUAUUGGGAGUUGGAGUCCACACAUUUUAAAGUUUCCAAGGUUGAGAAGCACUGCUGUAAUAUUUCACAAGCUACCAUCUGCUGGUAGAUGCUAGUCUGGCAUUUUAUAUCAAGGGUGCUCUGAACAUAAUUUUAUUUUUUAAAAAGAAGAAAUACAUGUUUGUGGACUUUAUGUAUACCGGCAAGCUUUUUUAAAUGUAUUUAAUUUUGUAAUGUUUUAUUAAUGACUUUAUUUACCAGAUAUUUACUCAAAUAAAUGCAACAAAUUGA
Ahaetulla prasina is the source of this 2918-nucleotide RNA transcript. It is a transcript of the gene named protein phosphatase 1 regulatory inhibitor subunit 14C, with no coding region annotated. The transcript is spliced from 5 exons. The record is from RefSeq and is a predicted model, not a curated record. NCBI's taxonomy places the organism in Eukaryota, Metazoa, Chordata, Lepidosauria, Squamata, Colubridae.